GUGGUAACAAGACGAAGUUUACAUGUCUGUCCACAUCAGCACCAUGUACUCAAGAUGGAUUUCAGCUGCCAAAAAGGUCAAUCCAAACUGCUUGCACAAACCUGUCUUUAUGCUCCUGUUUAUUAUGCUCCCAUGUAGUAGAUGUCUCGUGCACUAAAACAGUGCAGCCAUAUGUCAACAUCUCUCUGGUGGUUCUGAAUGUUCUAAACAAGAGCGAGGGUGCACUGAACCUCCCAUGUAAACUUUAUACAACAGAUUCAGCAGAACUGUAAUUAUUUACAAAAUGAUGGCAUGAGAAAUCUCUGGAUUUAUAUCUCACUUUAAAGUAACAGAGAUUGUGUCCACAUAAUUUUUGAGUUCAUGGUAGGUUUUUAAUUUACUUUCUUAUUUUUGCUAGGAUACGAUACACCUCAUCACACUUUAAAAAUCAAUGUCAUUAUUUAAAGUUAUUGAUUUCUUUCUAAUAAACACUUUCUUUUCUUUUUUCUUUUUUUUUUUUAAAUAAGGCACAUUAUUUAAUUAUAAAUGAACCUGUAUGCUGAAUUAUUGGCGCUGCACGACACUUGUGUGUUGGAUUGCAGUUAUUCACUGGAUGGAGCGGAGAAAGAAGACAAGGAGAGAACAGAAUUCACUCACCUGCAACAAAAUAAAAGUAUACAUAUGCAUGGAAAAGCAACAAGAAACACUGCUCUGAAGCUGUUCUUGAAAUGUCAAGAUUUCAAGGUUUCUGUUCAAAGACUAGAACAUGACAGGAAAAGAUUUCCUGAAGGCUGUAAAGCAGAAGCUAUCCUGCUUCAUUGUGGAGAAGAGACUAAAUUUUCACUUCAACAGCCACCUUUCUUAAUUUUUCUGAUGUGAUCUUCAGCUUCAGAAAGUACAGAGGAAACAACAAGCAUCCAAGAACUGCAGUUUACCUCAACAAAUCCAGUGCAUAUAUUCAUACAAUUUACUGUGUACUUUUCACAUUUACACUUUUUUUUUUUUUCUUAUAUAGGCAUAGACUAUCCACUGAUUUCAAAAUUAGGAAGAGUUUAAAAUAAUAAAAGUAGAAUCUAUGUCUGUUUGGUGUUCUGCCAGUACUUACUCUACAUACUUUAUACGACACAGGCCACUUAUAGAUACAUUUUUAAAGUACACAUUAACCUUACUUAAAUCACAUUAGAACUGAACUUAAGUUGCAUUCCACAGAGAGACAGAUUAAUAAAGGUGAAAAGAAGAUCAUGUUUCUCCAGUUAGCUUCUUGUCAACUCUGUAGCUUCUUGUCAACUCUGUAGGUCUAGAUGAUAUCAAGAUGCUUUGGAGAGAAACAAACACUCCAGCUAAAUAAUCAGUAAGAUAUUUAUUUUAUCAAAAUCUGCACACACAAAGUGAUUUAAAGCUUCACCACACAGAACAAAUACCUAGGUCCUUUUGGGUUUGUUUUUCUUUGUUUUCAUUUUCUAGGAGUAAUAAAGACCUUGGGGCAGGGCAUUUCCUUUGGAUUAAUGACCGGCUGGGGUUAAUGGCCAG
This 1509-nucleotide long non-coding RNA is filed under the name Gallus gallus (chicken). Its description in RNAcentral is "lncRNA (ENSGALG00010008531.1)". Lineage: Eukaryota; Metazoa; Chordata; Aves; Galliformes; Phasianidae. The record is from RNAcentral.